GAGGAGGUGGCCGAGUGGUUAAGGCGAUGGACUGCUAAUCCAUUGUGCUCUGCACGUGUGGCUUCUAAUCCCAUCCUCGUCG
Molecule: transfer RNA, 82 nt
Filed under: Saccoglossus kowalevskii
Lineage: Eukaryota; Metazoa; Hemichordata; Enteropneusta; Harrimaniidae
Description: tRNA-Ser
Rfam family: tRNA
About the family: Transfer RNA (tRNA) molecules are approximately 80 nucleotides in length.
Source: RNAcentral